Long non-coding RNA from Myotis brandtii (Brandt's bat), 2074 nucleotides. RefSeq lists it as uncharacterized. NCBI's taxonomy places the organism in Eukaryota, Metazoa, Chordata, Mammalia, Chiroptera, Vespertilionidae. The transcript is spliced from 4 exons. The record is from RefSeq and is a predicted model, not a curated record.
GGUCGCGACCCACAGGUUGAGAACUGCUUAAACCAACAUAUAGUUUCACUCAUUUACACUCCAGGGAGAGAGAGGAGAACUGUGAGGAGCGAAAUGCCACAGAAUGCAAUCACCCCUCAUCCCACCCUGGCAAACUUCUGAAGAAAUGGAAUUGAUCACUUCUUUCCCAUUUCAAGUCUCUCUUUCUAACCAGAGUUUUUUCUCAGUGCAUUGGCAUGUGAAAAGUCCAUGAGGAAAGGAAAUUCACAAGGUUACUUUAUUGACUAAGACAUUUUGCCUGCCUCCAAGAAGAUACUGCAGUCUUCUCCAGCUACGGUAGGAAUGGAGCAUCGAGAAAAUGUCUUGCAUUUCAGUAGGAGGGAACUUAGAGCAACAGGAAGAUCAGUACUAAAAUUUCCCUACUUUCUUGAGAAAAGUAAAGCUUUGAGAGGUUAAAGGACUCGGCGUAGCUUAUUCAGGUAGAGUGGCGAGGUCACAGCUGAGCCUUCGAUUCUAGUUUCAGAGGUCACGUGUUCUCUAUUGCACCUGUGUGUGUGUGGGGGGGGGGGGGGGGUUUGCUGGGGUCUCCAAGCCUGACUGCUACCCGUUUCUAGUCUCAUCUAAUCAGCAUUCUGACAUCCUUCUCUGUGCUCCAGGCACACGGAGCUGCUGGAUAAAAUAUAACAAAACUAUUUUACAUCGUGGAGGGAGGAUGAUUCCUAUCUGCCAAAAGGAGAACCCCGUAAGCAACGCGAUGCUCUGGAUGGUGUUCAGGAAGAUGCCUUUUACAAAAGCUACUCUGGUCAUCGGUCUCUAGGGCAGUCAUGCUACUUGGUGCCAGAAGAUGAUCCCAAAAGAAAGGCAAGGAUACUCAGAAAUACGCUUGGCAUCAUCCUGCUCUCCGCCCUGCUCACGCUUCUCCUGUCAUGCCGUGUUGAGUUUCUGCGCCAUGCCACGCUCUUUCCCCUUGCAGGGGUUCUGUGCCUGCUUUUCCUCUGCCUAAGAGGCCCUUCCUGCUGCUCUCCAGAUACCUGGCUUCCCAUUCCUUAGGUCUCAGCUUAAAUGUCACUUCACUUAAAUCCUAGGGAGUCCUUCCCUGUCUGUUCUGUCUAGAGUAAUCACCACAUAAAUGCUACCAUUCCUGAACACUAUUUCCUUUAUAACACAUGUAGCAUUCUGUAAUUAUUUUAUGUGUGUACAUAAUUUGUGGUCUGUACACCUAGCUAUAAUGAGACCUUAAAACGCAGUGCUUCUUCGGGGCUUGGCACAAAAUAGAUUCUUAAUAAAUAUUUGUUAGUUAAAAAAAAAACACAACACAUGUGCAUCUAUGUCAUUAAACUUGAGUGUAUUAAUGAUGCAGUACAGGUGAAAAACAUUUAAAUUGUAUUUUAUCUGUACCAAACUCUACAUGCAAAUCUAUUUCAUAAUGUUCAAAACUGUUCCAUAUUGGAUUAAUGAUUUGAUGCUACACCAAAAAUAUCAUUACCUUUUAACGUUAUAAAUUUUUAUUGUAUUGCAAUGUUUCAAAUGCUCAUGUCCAUAACUCCUGCAAUAUUUUCAUGAAAUGUGUCAGUUAUUUUAUCCUUAGUAAAUAAAUUAUGUGCCAAAUUUGAGUUGUGAAAGAAUGACAUAUUUAGAGAACUCCAAGUGUGUGAAUGGUUAUACGUAAAGGGGGGAAUUACCUUCCCCUUUAUCCACCAGUCAAAUUGUUCAUUCUCCGCUGAUGCUCCAGUUAUGUGGAAAAGGUCAAGUAGGACUAAAACAAAUACACCUCUGAACCGCCAAUCACAGAGGUUCCCAGCAGCCUUGAGCCCUGACCUAAUUGAGCAUUGGAUUUGCAUGAAAAUAAGACACUUGCCACUGUCACAUGCUUUGCAUCUAUAAUCAGCAAAAUAUGAGGCUUAAAGUUCAGGUUCAGAUUGGCAUUCUCUAACAUGCUGGAGGAAGUGGAUCGUGACCUUUCAAAGCCACAAACAAUCGCUUACUGUCCAUUUCUUCUCAGCCACCUGGAACGUCAAAUCAAGAAGCACCUUUGGAAGCCUCAGAGUUUGAGUUGCAAAGUGACACCCAAGUCAUCUAGCGAUUGCAUGUAGAG